CCUACGGGUGGCAGCAGUGAGGAAUAUUGGUCAAUGGGCGCGAGCCUGAACCAGCCAAGUAGCGUGAAGGAUGACUGCCCUACGGGUUGUAAACUUCUUUUAUAAGGGAAUAAAGUGCGGCACGUGUGCUUUUUUGUAUGUACUUUAUGAAUAAGGAUCGGCUAACCCAGCGCCAGCAGCCGCGGUAAUACGGAGGAUCCGAGCGUUAUCCGGAUUUAUUGGGUUUAAAGGGAGCGUAGAUGGGUUGUUAAGUCAGUUGUGAAAGUUUGCGGCUCAACCGUAAAAUUGCAGUUGAUACUGGAAUCCUUGAGUACAGGAGAGGUAGGCGGAAUUCGUGGUGUAGCGGUGAAAUGCGUAGAUAUCACGAAGAACUCCGAUUGCGAAGGCAGCUUACUGGACUGCAACUGACACUGAUGCUCGAAAGUGUGGGUAUCAAACAGGAUUAGAUACCCCAGUAGUC
Molecule: ribosomal RNA, 460 nt
Filed under: uncultured bacterium
Lineage: Bacteria
Description: partial 16S ribosomal RNA
Rfam family: Bacterial small subunit ribosomal RNA
Source: RNAcentral